GAUGAACGCUGGCGGCGUGCCUAAUACAUGCAAGUCGAGCGAACAGACGAGGAGCUUGCUCCUCUGACGUUAGCGGCGGACGGGUGAGUAACACGUGGAUAACCUACCUAUAAGACUGGGAUAACUUCGGGAAACCGGAGCUAAUACCGGAUAAUAUAUCGAACCGCAUGGUUCAAUAGUGAAAGACGGUUUUGCUGUCACUUAUAGAUGGAUCCGCGCCGCAUUAGCUAGUUGGUAAGGUAACGGCUUACCAAGGCGACGAUGCGUAGCCGUCCUGAGAGGGUGAUCGGCCACACUGGAACUGAGACACGGUCCAGACUCCUACGGGAGGUAGCAGUAGGGAAUCUUCCGCAAUGGGCGAAAGCCUGACGGAGCAACGCCGCGUGAGUGAUGAAGGUCUUCGGAUCGUAAAACUCUGUUAUUAGGGAAGAACAAAUGUGUAAGUAACUAUGCACGUCUUGACGGUACCUAAUCAGAAAGCCACGGCUAACUACGUG
Molecule: ribosomal RNA, 497 nt
Filed under: uncultured bacterium
Lineage: Bacteria
Description: partial 16S ribosomal RNA
Rfam family: Bacterial small subunit ribosomal RNA
Source: RNAcentral